Gymnogyps californianus (California condor) is the source of this 208-nucleotide long non-coding RNA. RefSeq lists it as uncharacterized. Lineage: Eukaryota; Metazoa; Chordata; Aves; Accipitriformes; Cathartidae. The transcript has 3 exons. The record is from RefSeq and is a predicted model, not a curated record.
GCAGGAUUUGGAUGUACAGGCACCAAGGGUGCAAAAAUGGAUCCUUGUUUACUGCAUCAGUGUUGUACUAUUCAACAACAGUCUUAAGAGGGGUAGUUCUAAUUCAUUCCUUGUAUGGAGACAGUCCUGUAUCAGCAUCCUUGCUGUCCUACACACCUUGGUCUGUACAUGUUUUUUCUGUGAUGAGGAACCAGAACUAUCAAUGUUA